This 500-nucleotide ribosomal RNA is filed under the name uncultured bacterium. RNAcentral describes it as "partial 16S ribosomal RNA". It matches the Rfam family "Bacterial small subunit ribosomal RNA", at positions 30 to 523 of the family's 1533-position model. The record is from RNAcentral.
AUUGAACGCUGGCGGCAUGCCUUACACAUGCAAGUCGAACGGCAGCACGGGAGCAAUCCUGGUGGCGAGUGGCGAACGGGUGAGUAAAGUAUCGGAACGUGCCCAGUCGUGGGGGAUAACGUAGCGAAAGUUACGCUAAUACCGCAUACGAUCUAUGGAUGAAAGCGGGGGAUCGCAAGACCUCGCGCGAUUGGAGCGGCCGAUAUCAGAUUAGGUAGUUGGUGGGGUAAAGGCUCACCAAGCCAACGAUCUGUAGCUGGUCUGAGAGGACGACCAGCCACACUGGGACUGAGACACGGCCCAGACUCCUACGGGAGGCAGCAGUGGGGAAUUUUGGACAAUGGGCGAAAGCAUGAUCCAGCAAUGCCGCGUGCAGGAAGAAGGCCUUCGGGUUGUAAACUGCUUUUGUACGGAGCGAAAAGGCCCUCUCUAAUACAGGGGGUUUAUGACGGUACCGUAAGAAUAAGCACCGGCUAACUAUGUGCCAGCCGCCGCCGUAA